Molecule: ribosomal RNA, 497 nt
Filed under: uncultured bacterium
Lineage: Bacteria
Description: partial 16S ribosomal RNA
Rfam family: Bacterial small subunit ribosomal RNA
Source: RNAcentral
GAUGAACGCUGGCGGCGUGCCUAAUACAUGCAAGUCGAGCGAACAGACGAGGAGCUUGCUCCUCUGACGUUAGCGGCGGACGGGUGAGUAACACGUGGAUAACCUACCUAUAAGACUGGGAUAACUUCGGGAAACCGGAGCUAAUACCGGAUAAUAUAUUGAACCGCAUGGUUCAAUAGUGAAAGACGGUUUUGCUGUCACUUAUAGAUGGAUCCGCGCCGGAUUAGCUAGUUGGUAAGGUAACGGCUUACCAAGGCAACGAUGCGUAGCCGACCUGAGAGGGUGAUCGGCCACACUGGAACUGAGACACGGUCCAGACUCCUACGGGAGGCAGCAGUAGGGAAUAUUCCACAAUGGGCGAAAGCCUGACGGAGCCACGCCGCGUGAGUGAUGAAGGUCUUCGGAUCGUAAAACUCUUUUAUUAGGGAAGAAAAAAUGUGUGAGAAACUAUGCACGUCUUGACGGUACCUAAUCAGAAAGCAACGGCUAACUACGUG